UGGGGAAUUUUGGACAAUGGGCGAAAGCCUGAUCCAGCAAUGCCGCGUGUGUGAAGAAGGCCUUCGGGUUGUAAAGCACUUUUGUCCGGAAAGAAAUCCUUGGCUCUAAUACAGUCGGGGGAUGACGGUACCGGAAGAAUAAGCACCGGCUAACUACGUGCCAGCAGCCGCGGUAAUACGUAGGGUGCAAGCGUUAAUCGGAAUUACUGGGCGUAAAGCGUGCGCAGGCGGUUUGCUAAGACCGAUGUGAAAUCCCCGGGCUCAACCUGGGAACUGCAUUGGUGACUGGCAGGCUAGAGUAUGGCAGAGGGGGGUAGAAUUCCACGUGUAGCAGUGAAAUGCGUAGAGAUGUGGAGGAAUACCGAUGGCGAAGGCAGCCCCCUGGGCCAAUACUGACGCUCAUGUACGAAAGCGUGGGGAGCAAACAGGAUUAGAUACCCUGGUAGUCCACGCCCUAAACGAUGUCAACUAGUUGUUGGGGAUUCAUUUUCCUUAGUAACGUAGCUAACGCGUGAAGUUGACCGCCUGGGGAGUACGGUCGCAAGAUUAAAACUUAAAUGAAUUGACGGGGUCAUAGCUGUUUCCU
Molecule: ribosomal RNA, 586 nt
Filed under: uncultured bacterium
Lineage: Bacteria
Description: partial 16S ribosomal RNA
Rfam family: Bacterial small subunit ribosomal RNA
Source: RNAcentral